RNAcentral lists this ribosomal RNA (1765 nucleotides) under Escherichia coli. RNAcentral's name for it is "partial 23S ribosomal RNA". It matches the Rfam family "Bacterial large subunit ribosomal RNA", at positions 1195 to 2925 of the family's 2925-position model. The record is from RNAcentral. Lineage: Bacteria; Pseudomonadati; Pseudomonadota; Gammaproteobacteria; Enterobacterales; Enterobacteriaceae.
CGAAGCUGCGGCAGCGACACUAUGUGUUGUUGGGUAGGGGAGCGUUCUGUAAGCCUGUGAAGGUGGCCUGUGAGGGUUGCUGGAGGUAUCAGAAGUGCGAAUGCUGACAUAAGUAACGAUAAAGCGGGUGAAAAGCCCGCUCGCCGGAAGACCAAGGGUUCCUGUCCAACGUUAAUCGGGGCAGGGUGAGUCGACCCCUAAGGCGAGGCCGAAAGGCGUAGUCGAUGGGAAACAGGUUAAUAUUCCUGUACUUGGUGUUACUGCGAAGGGGGGACGGAGAAGGCUAUGUUGGCCGGGCGACGGUUGUCCCGGUUUAAGCGUGUAGGCUGGUUUUCCAGGCAAAUCCGGAAAAUCAAGGCUGAGGCGUGAUGACGAGGCACUACGGUGCUGAAGCGACAAAUGCCCUGCUUCCAGGAAAAGCCUCUAAGCAUCAGGUAACAUCAAAUCGUACCCCAAACCGACACAGGUGGUCAGGUAGAGAAUACCAAGGCGCUUGAGAGAACUCGGGUGAAGGAACUAGGCAAAAUGGUGCCGUAACUUCGGGAGAAGGCACGCUGAUAUGUAGGUGAAGCGACUUGCUCGUGGAGCUGAAAUCAGUCGAAGAUACCAGCUGGCUGCAACUGUUUAUUAAAAACACAGCACUGUGCAAACACGAAAGUGGACGUAUACGGUGUGACGCCUGCCCGGUGCCGGAAGGUUAAUUGAUGGGGUUAGCGGUAACGCGAAGCUCUUGAUCGAAGCCCCGGUAAACGGCGGCCGUAACUAUAACGGUCCUAAGGUAGCGAAAUUCCUUGUCGGGUAAGUUCCGACCUGCACGAAUGGCGUAAUGAUGGCCAGGCUGUCUCCACCCGAGACUCAGUGAAAUUGAACUCGCUGUGAAGAUGCAGUGUACCCGCGGCAAGACGGAAAGACCCCGUGAACCUUUACUAUAGCUUGACACUGAACAUUGAGCCUUGAUGUGUAGGAUAGGUGGGAGGCUUUGAAGUGUGGACGCCAGUCUGCAUGGAGCCGACCUUGAAAUACCACCCUUUAAUGUUUGAUGUUCUAACGUGGGCCCCUUACCGGGGUUGCGGACAGUGUCUGGUGGGUAGUUUGACUGGGGCGGUCUCCUCCUAAAGAGUAACGGAGGAGCACGAAGGUUGGCUAAUCCUGGUCGGACAUCAGGAGGUUAGUGCAAUGGCAUAAGCCAGCUUGACUGCGAGCGUGACGGCGCGAGCAGGUGCGAAAGCAGGUCAUAGUGAUCCGGUGGUUCUGAAUGGAAGGGCCAUCGCUCAACGGAUAAAAGGUACUCCGGGGAUAACAGGCUGAUACCGCCCAAGAGUUCAUAUCGACGGCGGUGUUUGGCACCUCGAUGUCGGCUCAUCACAUCCUGGGGCUGAAGUAGGUCCCAAGGGUAUGGCUGUUCGCCAUUUAAAGUGGUACGCGAGCUGGGUUUAGAACGUCGUGAGACAGUUCGGUCCCUAUCUGCCGUGGGCGCUGGAGAACUGAGGGGGGCUGCUCCUAGUACGAGAGGACCGGAGUGGACGCAUCACUGGUGUUCGGGUUGUCAUGCCAAUGGCACUGCCCGGUAGCUAAAUGCGGAAGAGAUAAGUGCUGAAAGCAUCUAAGCACGAAACUUGCCCCGAGAUGAGUUCUCCCUGACUCCUUGAGAGUCCUGAAGGAACGUUGAAGACGACGACGUUGAUAGGCCGGGUGUGUAAGCGCAGCGAUGCGUUGAGCUAACCGGUACUAAUGAACCGUGAGGCUUAACCUUACAACGCCGAAG